CCUUUCGAAAGAAAGAUUAAUACCUGAUAGUAUCUUAAGCACACAUGUAAUUAAGAUUAAAGAUUUAUCGGUGUACGAUGGGGAUGCGUUCCAUUAGGUAGUAGGCGGGGUAACGGCCCACCUAGCCAACGAUGGAUAGGGGUUCUGAGAGGAAGGUCCCCCACAUUGGAACUGAGACACGGUCCAAACUCCUACGGGAGGCAGCAGUGAGGAAUAUUGGUCAAUGGACGAGAGUCUGAACCAGCCAAGUAGCGUGAAGGAUGAAGGUCCUACGGAUUGUAAACUUCUUUUAUAAGGGAAUAAACCCUCCCACGUGUGGGAGCUUGUAUGUACCUUAUGAAUAAGCAUCGGCUAACUCCGUGCCAGCAGCCGCGGUAAUACGGAGGAUGCGAGCGUUAUCCGGAUUUAUUGGGUUUAAAGGGAGCGCAGACGGGUCGUUAAGUCAGCUGUGAAAGUUUGGGGCUCAACCUUAAAAUUGCAGUUGAUACUGGCGUCCUUGAGUGCGGUUGAGGUGUGCGGAAUUCGUGGUGUAGCGGUGAAAUGCUUAGAUAUCACGAAGAACUCCGAUUGCGAAGGCAGCACACUAAUCCGUAACUGACGUUCAUGCUCGAAAGUGUGGGUAUCAAACAGGAUUAGAUACCGUGGUAGU
This 649-nucleotide ribosomal RNA is filed under the name uncultured bacterium. RNAcentral's name for it is "bacterial SSU rRNA". It matches the Rfam family "Bacterial small subunit ribosomal RNA", at positions 147 to 794 of the family's 1533-position model. The record is from RNAcentral.